UACGUAGGUGGCAAGCGUUGUCCGGAAUUAUUGGGCGUAAAGCGCGCGCAGGCGGUCCCUUAAGUCUGAUGUGAAAGCCCACGGCUCAACCGUGGAGGGUCAUUGGAAACUGGGGGACUUGAGUGUAGAAGAGGAAAGUGGAAUUCCAUGUGUAGCGGUGAAAUGCGUAGAGAUGUGGAGGAACACCAGUGGCGAAGGCGACUUUCUGGUCUGUAACUGACGCUGAGGCGCGAAAGCGUGGGGAGCAAACAGG
This 253-nucleotide ribosomal RNA is filed under the name uncultured bacterium. Its description in RNAcentral is "partial 16S ribosomal RNA". It matches the Rfam family "Bacterial small subunit ribosomal RNA", at positions 524 to 776 of the family's 1533-position model. The record is from RNAcentral.